ACCAGAACCUACGUCUGGGAGUGGCACACUGCUCAGUAACACGUAGCUAACCUACCCUUAGGACGUGGAUACCCCCGAGAAAUUGGGGUUAAUCCGCGAUAGAUGUAAUGUCCUGGAAUGGUAUUACGUCUAAAGGUAUUUCAUACAUGUUUGAAAUAUGCCUAAGGAUGGGGCUGCGGCCGAUCAGGCUGUUGGUGAGGUAAUGGCUCACCAAACCUUUGACCGGUACGGGCCAUGAGAGUGGUAGCCCGGAGAUGGACACUGAGACAAGGGUCCAGGCCCUAAGGGGCGCAGCAACCGCGAAACCUCCACAAUGCACUCACGUGCGAUGGGGCUAUCUCGAGUGCCACCUGAUGAAGGUGGCUUUUCCUUGGUCUAAAAAGCCUAGGGAAUAAGAGGGGGGCAAGACUGGUGUCAGCCGCCGCGGUAACACCAGCCCCUCGAAUGGUGGGGGAUGAUUAUUUGGCCUAAAGCGUCCGUAGCCGGCCGGGUAAGUUUCCCGUUAAAUCCAGCGUCUCAAGCGUUGGACUGCGGGAAAUACUGCCUGGCUAGAGAGUGGGAGAGGUCAGCGGUAUUCUGGGGGUAGGGGCGAAAUCCUUUGAUCCCCGGAGGACCACCAGUGGCGAAGGCUGCUGACUAGAACACGUCUGACGGUCAGGGACGAAAGCUGGGGUAGCGAACCGGAUUAGAUACCCGGGUAGUCCCAGCCGUAAACGAUGCAUGCUAGGUGUUGGGUUGGCCACGAGCCACCCCAGUGCCGCAGGGAAGCCGUUAAGCAUGCCGCCUGGGAAGUACGAUCGCAAGAUUGAAACUUAAAGGAAUUGGCGGGGGAGCACCACCAGGCGU
RNAcentral lists this ribosomal RNA (846 nucleotides) under uncultured archaeon. RNAcentral describes it as "bacterial SSU rRNA". It matches the Rfam family "Archaeal small subunit ribosomal RNA", at positions 58 to 889 of the family's 1478-position model. The record is from RNAcentral.